AUGGCUCAAGUGAAAAGCGAUCACGCACCAACAUCGGAAGUUGAAUCUUUCGAUCCUGAAUUGGCUGCCGGAAUCGCCGAACUGCUCACUCGCAUGGCUGUCGAAGAUGACGUCGGCAACCAGUACAUCGAUUUGGAAGAACUGCCGGCCGCGCUCAAACUCCAGGUGUCUCAGUAUUUGACGAAGCAGCAGGUGAUGGACGAGGAAAAGCAAUUCCAGGAGCAAUUGAAAUUGAAGCAAAAAGCAGAGAAGCUGAAAGCGCAAGGGACUAGUUUCGCCAGCCUUUUGAACAAGCAAAGUGACGGCCAAAUUGAUGACCUCUUGAGCAGUUUGCUGCAGGGAACUCUCGCAGAUUAUCCAACACCAACAGCCGGUUAUUAUCCUCAACGCUAUGCACCUUACGCCUACCCCCAAAGACCGGUCUAUUCUUCCGGAUAUCCCCUGUAUGGAUUUUACCCUCAAUACGGAGGGUACCACGGCAGUUUCAGACCUUAUUGCGGACUAGAAAGUUAUCCGUACGCCGCUCUGAAAGGCUACUACCCCUUCUCCAAUGGCAACCGACCCUACCGUCCGCAAAGUUCGUUGAUGAUUCGCGGACAAUUGCAGAAUUUGUACGGCGGAUCCGUCGGACCCAGUCCUUUGCCUUACCGCAUGGUUGACGUACCACCCGGCUAAUUAAAUAAGCAUUUUUAACGGCACGAGCGUCAUGCAUAUAAAUGACAGAAUGAACGGCCCAUUUAACGAAAAAGGAGAGAACCAGUCCAGCAGAUGGGUCACUGGCCGUUGCUUCAAACCAGUUUUCUUCUUUUCCUCGGAAAUGAAUUGUUAGUCACGAAACGUGACGCACGAUAUCAACAGUUAUAAUAACAACGCAAAACAAAUCAGGUUCUGAGCAACUGUCGUGACUCGAAUUUUGUCUUCUUCUUUUUCUUCUUCCUUAUCUGUUGGCCAUCCUUUUUUCUUCGCUUUUCGGUUGGGUUUUCCUUUCCUCCUCCUACUCCCGGCUCCGGCUCCUGCUGCAGUUCUAUACGUCAGUUGGGAACACAUUGGACUCAACCCAAAGUAUAAGACGCCAGAGAAUAACCGUGACAUUAAAGACGAAUCGAUUUGGAACAGCAAAACUCGCCAAUUGAGAGUCGAUUGUAUUGGAGCUUCUAAGGGACUUUUUAUCGGCCUCUUUUUCCUGACAGCUUCGUUCUCUGUCUCGUUUUAUUCUUCAUUUUUGUACCAAUUCCGCAAUUCAAACGACUGGGACUCAUCCUGGCGGCGCGGCUCAUUGCACUUUGCUUCUCGUCUCCAUUCUCGCCAUGGCUUUAGGGGCGUUGUGUUUCUGGUUAAUAAGACAACAGUCAGAUGUGGAGUUAAUGGUUGCCUCUUUAGAAAAGUAAUAAUCUGAUUUUGAGGAAGAAGACAGUCGGCAAAUGGUAGAAAAACUCGAUAUUCUGGAUAUAGGUAAGGCAAAUUCCAUAACUACUCUAUUAUAAAUGUUCGCACGAAUAUAUGCGUGACCUAGC
RNAcentral lists this unclassified non-coding RNA (1514 nucleotides) under Daphnia magna. Its description in RNAcentral is "uncharacterized LOC116936543, transcript variant X1". Lineage: Eukaryota; Metazoa; Arthropoda; Branchiopoda; Diplostraca; Daphniidae. The record is from RNAcentral.